GACGAACGCUGGCGGCGUGCUUAACACAUGCAAGUGGAGCGACGAACCAGGCUUCGGCCUGGGGCAGAGCCGCGAACGGGUGAGUAACACGUGGGUUACCUGCCCGAUGACUGGGACAACCCGGGGAAACCCGGGCUAAUACCGGAUGUGUUGCUCUCGCUUCGGUGAGAGCAGGAAAGGAAGCUUCGGCCUCCGCAUCGGGAUGGGCCCGCGGCCCAUUAGCUUGUUGGUGAGGUAACGGCNCACCAAGGCCGCGAUGGGUAGCUGGUCUGAGAGGACGAUCAGCCACACUGGGACUGAGACACGGCCCAGACUCCUACGGGAGGCAGCAGUGGGGAAUCUUGCGCAAUGCGCGAAAGCGUGACGCAGCAACGCCGCGUGGGGGAAGACGGCUUUC
Molecule: ribosomal RNA, 397 nt
Filed under: uncultured bacterium
Lineage: Bacteria
Description: bacterial SSU rRNA
Rfam family: Bacterial small subunit ribosomal RNA
Source: RNAcentral